AUACUUACCUGGACGAGGUCAAUGGACGAUCAAGAAGGCUCAUGACCUAGAUCAAUGGUUCACAUUGCACAUAGUGAAUGUGUUGAUCUACCAUCUCCCUUGGGAGAGUGGACGUCAAAAUUUGUGUUAGAGGGGGUACGAGUUCGCGUGGCCCCUGC
RNAcentral lists this small nuclear RNA (158 nucleotides) under Triticum aestivum (bread wheat). RNAcentral's name for it is "snRNA U1". It matches the Rfam family "U1 spliceosomal RNA". Rfam says of the family: U1 is a small nuclear RNA (snRNA) component of the spliceosome (involved in pre-mRNA splicing). The record is from RNAcentral. Lineage: Eukaryota; Viridiplantae; Streptophyta; Magnoliopsida; Poales; Poaceae.